UACAGAGGUCUCAAGCGUUGUUCGGAAUUACUGGGCGUAAAGGGUGCGCAGGCCGCGCGGGCAGUCAAAUGUGUAAUUCAGAGGCUCAACCUCUGGACUGCGCUUGAUACUUCCGUGCUCGAGCUUUGGAGAGGAGUCUGGAAUUCUCGGUGUAGCAGUGAAAUGCGUGGAUAUCGAGAAGAACACUUAGGGCGAAAGCAAGACUCUGGACAAAUGCUGACGCUCAUGCACGAAGGCUAGGGGAGCGAACGGGAUUAGAUA
This 261-nucleotide ribosomal RNA is filed under the name uncultured bacterium. RNAcentral describes it as "partial 16S ribosomal RNA". It matches the Rfam family "Bacterial small subunit ribosomal RNA", at positions 524 to 784 of the family's 1533-position model. The record is from RNAcentral.